This 305-nucleotide ribosomal RNA is filed under the name uncultured bacterium. Its description in RNAcentral is "bacterial SSU rRNA". It matches the Rfam family "Bacterial small subunit ribosomal RNA", at positions 331 to 656 of the family's 1533-position model. The record is from RNAcentral.
UCAGUCCUCGGGGGGCAGCAGUGGGGAAUAUUGCACAAUGGGGGAAACCCUGAUGCAGCAACGCCGCGUGAGUGAUGAUGGCCUUCGGGUUGUAAAGCUCUGUCUUCAGGGACGAUAAUGACGGUACCUGAGGAGGAAGCCACGGCUAACUACGUGCCAGCAGCCGCGGUAAUACGUAGGUGGCGAGCGUUGUCCGGAUUUACUGGGCGUAAAGGGAGCGUAGGCGGAUUUUUAAGUGAGAUGUGAAAUACUCGGGCUCAACUUGAGUGCUGCAUUUCAAACUGGAAGGCUAGAGUGCAGGGGAG